Molecule: unclassified non-coding RNA, 218 nt
Filed under: plant metagenome
Description: partial contains small subunit ribosomal RNA, internal transcribed spacer 1, and 5.8S ribosomal RNA
Rfam family: Eukaryotic small subunit ribosomal RNA (bases 1-53)
Source: RNAcentral
GGAAGUAAAGUCGUAACAAGGUCUCCGUUGGUGAACCAGCGGAGGGAUCAUUACCGAGUUUACAACUCCCAAACCCCUGUGAACAUACCUAUCGUUGCCUCGGCGGUGCCCGCUCCGGCGGCCCGCCAGAGGACCCCCAAACUCUUGUUUUAUACAGUAUCUUCUGAGUAACACGAUUAAAUAAAUCAAAACUUUCAACAACGGAUCUCUUGGUUCUG